UACGUAGGAUGCAAGCGUUGUCCGGAUUUACUGGGCGUAAAGCGCGCGCAGGCGGCACCGCAAGUAAGGUGUGAAAUCUCCAUGCUAAACGUGGAGGGUGCACCUUAGACUGCGGAGCUAGAGGUCGGUAGAGGGGGGUGGAAUUGCUGGUGUAGCGGUGAAAUGCGUAGAGAUCAGCAGGAACACCCGUGGCGAAGGCGGCCCCCUGGGCCGUACCUGACGCUGAGGCGCGAAGGCUAGGGGAGCGAACGGG
RNAcentral lists this ribosomal RNA (253 nucleotides) under uncultured bacterium. RNAcentral's name for it is "partial 16S ribosomal RNA". It matches the Rfam family "Bacterial small subunit ribosomal RNA", at positions 524 to 776 of the family's 1533-position model. The record is from RNAcentral.